RNAcentral lists this long non-coding RNA (1348 nucleotides) under Macaca mulatta (Rhesus monkey). RNAcentral describes it as "lncRNA (ENSMMUG00000050986.1)". The record is from RNAcentral. Lineage: Eukaryota; Metazoa; Chordata; Mammalia; Primates; Cercopithecidae.
CCACAUUUUCUUUAUCCAGUCUGCCAUUGAUGAGCAUUUAGGUUGAUUCCAUAUCUUUACUAUUGUGAAUAGUACUGCAAUAAACAUAUGUGUGCAUGUGUCUUUGUAGUAGAAUGAUAUAUAUUACUUUGGGUAUAUACCCAGUAAUGAGAUUGCUGGGUCGAGUGCUAUUUCUGUCUCUAGGUCUUUGAGGAAUCACCACACUGUCUUCAACAAUGGUUGAAUUAGUUGUCUUUUAAUGAAGUGAAAGUCAAAGAAAUAAGAUAGCCAAUGCCUAGACUAUAAAUGCAUAACAUUGUAUAUUUACUGUUAAAGAAAAAGUAGACAAGUUUCAUAAGUUGAUUUGUAAGUAAUAUAUUUAGGAGACUACAAAAAUUUUGAGACUGUGUAUAUCAUAGGAUGCUGUUUGUUUGUAUCCUCCAAAUAGGUAACAAGUCCAUAUGAGGCAUAGUUAAGUCUGUGGGUGCUUCAUUGAGGAGUAGAACCUUGAAAAGACUUCUGCCUUGAUGAACAAAUUCGAACACCAGUUUGAAAUAUUGGAUAUUCAAACACAACAAAUGGAAGAUAAAAUGAGUAACUCUACAACCCUAACAACACCACAAAACCAAAUGGAUAUGCUGCUUCAGGAAAUGCCAGAUGAAGCUAGGUAAGAAGUUAUCCAGGUGAUUGUGGAAAAUCUUGAUUUAGUAUCUAGAGGUUCUAAAAUGCUGUGAUAUAGAUGAAAAUAUUUCUCUUUUCCACGAAUUGCCAGAGUUAGGUUUGUGACCCUAGAAUUUAGUGUUUCAAGGGACUUUAAACAGUCAUCUAAUUCCUUGCCAUGCUCAUAAAAAUUUGACUGUGUUUCAAUCAUCUUAGUAUUUUCUUAAAAAUUUCUGGAAAUAGACUCAUUUAGUGUGUGUAAAGAAAUAGGCAAAGGUGAUCAAAGGAAGCAGGAAUGUUUAAACAAUUACCUAAUACCUACUGUUCGCUGCAUAUAUGAAAUAUAUGGUGUGUUUUGUUUUUUGUUUUUUUUAAAAAAAGGACCUUCCAAAAUAAUUCUGCUGUGAUUAGGCCAUUGAGUCAUAAGUCUAGUUUGAGUACUGCAAACUGAGCAAUAUGUGCAAAAUGUGCAAGGGGCUCAAAAGACAGCAGUAUUACACAUAAUGAUUUGGUUGUUUCUUUUAAGUAAAUAGUUCAUACCCUUUUGUGAUAUUGUUAUUGGAAAUAGGGUGUAUAAUACAAGCUGUUUAUUUCAGGCCCUUCAUGUCAUGGGAGAAUGACUUAUCUAUGACAUCUUUGCUAUAGAGGUCAUGUUGUAUCAUUAUUCUCUGGUGUAAUGUUUGCUUCAAGAUAAUGUAGUAGUAAAAAA